GAGCCUGUCCCUGCACCAUCCCCUGCAGCCUCCAGCCACAAGAUCUACUGUCCUUGCCAGGGUUUUGUAGCACCAGUGACAUUGCCACGCUGUCCUUGCUCCACCCUUGCCAAGUGCUUGACUUGACAUCACAUCCCAACCCACCACUGACUCUUGUGCUUGAUGUAUGGCCACCGAGCAGGGGCCACUGCCACUGUUCCUUGUAGCAGCCGGUGCAGGCAUCUGCCAUUGCAUGAGAUGACACCUUGUCAUCUGCUGCUGCUGCUGCAGCCCCGGGCUGCUCAUCCCCUCGACUGCAAAUUACACAGCUCAGUCCCUGCACACCCACUGAGGCUGCUCAGGUCCACGUCCAUCACUGGGCAGCCACGGGGGAGCCCUGGGCUGGUCCUACCCACCCUGAUCCCAUCCCACCCAUGUGCUCAUCCCUGUUCCUGGGCAGCCAGGGGUUCCUGUGGCUGCUGUCACUGCUCUGGUGGCAGCACCUCCCUUGCAGCUGCAGAGCUAAAGCUCCCUUUUCUCCUCUCCUCCGCUUCCAAACAGCUUCUCAGCUCCCAGAAGAACCGCACACACACCUCCCCAUCCCCAAUUUGCCAUCUCAGGCCAGAGGUCCAGAAACCUAUUAAUGAUCUCCCAGCUGCAGGCUGGUUGCUGGAGCCAGCAGCGCAGCAGAAGGGUGACGAUGCUGUGAAGCCUCUGGGGCUGGUGGGUCCCAUGAUCCUGAGGGCAGCACCCAGCCCCAUGGGGACCUGCUGUGAUGGAGGGAGUAUGUUGACAGAAGCAGCAUCACUUGUGUGCACUGAAAGAGUGCCCAGGCAGAAAAGCCAAGCCAGGGCAGAGCCACACAUCCCAGCUGCCACCAAGCACUGCCUUCACCGAGCAGCUCCAGCCACCCGUGCUCCUGUGGGGCAGAGAAACACACACCCACGAAGGUCAGAGGCUUUGCAAAGAGGGGGCUGGGGCAGUGUCCCUGAAAGCACAGGCUGGGCAAAAGCCCUCCAGCUCCCCAGGCUCUUCCCAGAGACAUUACCUUCCCUGGGGACUUUUGCAACAAGGUGGACGUGGACACACAUGG
This 1072-nucleotide long non-coding RNA is filed under the name Calidris pugnax (ruff). RNAcentral's name for it is "lncRNA (ENSCPUG00000016644.1)". The record is from RNAcentral. Lineage: Eukaryota; Metazoa; Chordata; Aves; Charadriiformes; Scolopacidae.